This 301-nucleotide ribosomal RNA is filed under the name uncultured bacterium. Its description in RNAcentral is "partial 16S ribosomal RNA". It matches the Rfam family "Bacterial small subunit ribosomal RNA", at positions 509 to 809 of the family's 1533-position model. The record is from RNAcentral.
CAGCAGCCGCGGGAAUACGGAGGGUGCAAGCGUUAAUCGGAAUUACUGGGCGUAAAGCGCACGCAGGCGGUUUGUUAAGUCAGAUGUGAAAUCCCCGGGCUCAACCUGGGAACUGCAUUUGAAACUGGCAAGCUAGAGUCUCGUAGAGGGGGGUAGAAUUCCAGGUGUAGCGGUGAAAUGCGUAGAGAUCUGGAGGAAUACCGGUGGCGAAGGCGGCCCCCUGGACGAAGACUGACGCUCAGGUGCGAAAGCGUGGGGAGCAAACAGGAUUAGAUACCCGGGUAGUCCCUGUCUCUUAUAA